This 309-nucleotide ribosomal RNA is filed under the name uncultured bacterium. Its description in RNAcentral is "partial 16S ribosomal RNA". It matches the Rfam family "Bacterial small subunit ribosomal RNA", at positions 504 to 808 of the family's 1533-position model. The record is from RNAcentral.
AGAGACAGCAGCAGCCGCGGUAAAACGUAGGUGGCAAGCGUUGUCCGGAAUUAUUGGGCGUAAAGGGCUCGCAGGCGGUUUCUUAAGUCUGAUGUGAAAGCCCCCGGCUCAACCGGGGAGGGUCAUUGGAAACUGGGAAACUUGAGUGCAGAAGAGGAGAGUGGAAUUCCACGUGUAGCGGUGAAAUGCGUAGAGAUGUGGAGGAACACCAGUGGCGAAGGCGACUCUCUGGUCUGUAACUGACGCUGAGGAGCGAAAGCGUGGGGAGCGAACAGGAUUAGAUACCCCCGUAGUCCUGUCUCUUAUACC